This 533-nucleotide ribosomal RNA is filed under the name Lasiodiplodia theobromae. RNAcentral's name for it is "eukaryotic LSU rRNA". The stretch from base 160 to 313 matches the Rfam family "5.8S ribosomal RNA". Lineage: Eukaryota; Fungi; Ascomycota; Dothideomycetes; Botryosphaeriales; Botryosphaeriaceae. The record is from RNAcentral.
UGAACCUGCGGAAGGAUCAUUACCGAGUUGUCGAGCUCCGGCUCGACUCUCCCACCCUUUGUGAACGUACCUCUGUUGCUUUGGCGGCUCCGGCCGCCAAAGGACCUUCAAACUCCAGUCAGUAAACGCAGACGUCUGAUAAACAAGUUAAUAAACUAAAACUUUCAACAACGGAUCUCUUGGUUCUGGCAUCGAUGAAGAACGCAGCGAAAUGCGAUAAGUAAUGUGAAUUGCAGAAUUCAGUGAAUCAUCGAAUCUUUGAACGCACAUUGCGCCCCUUGGUAUUCCGGGGGGCAUGCCUGUUCGAGCGUCAUUACAACCCUCAAGCUCUGCUUGGAAUUGGGCACCGUCCUCACUGCGGACGCGCCUCAAAGACCUCGGCGGUGGCUGUUCAGCCCUCAAGCGUAGUAGAAUACACCUCGCUUUGGAGCGGUUGGCGUCGCCCGCCGGACGAACCUUCUGAACUUUUCUCAAGGUGACCUCGGAUCAUGUACGUAAACCCCCUGAACUUAAGCAUAUCAAUAAGCGGAGGA